This 759-nucleotide ribosomal RNA is filed under the name Inocybe pusio. RNAcentral's name for it is "eukaryotic LSU rRNA". The stretch from base 357 to 510 matches the Rfam family "5.8S ribosomal RNA". Lineage: Eukaryota; Fungi; Basidiomycota; Agaricomycetes; Agaricales; Inocybaceae. The record is from RNAcentral.
GUUGCUGAGAAGUUGAUCAAACUUGGUCAUUUAGAGGAAGUAAAAGUCGUAACAAGGUUUCCGUAGGUGAACCUGCGGAAGGAUCAUUAUCGAAUAAACUUGAAUCAGGCUGUUGCUGGCCCUCUUGUGGGGGGGAAUACGUGCACGCUUGUCUCAAUUUUUUUCUAUUUCUCCAACUGUGCACACUUUGUAGACUGGAGUUUUUAUCCAUUCGAGUUUUGGGAACUGCUGUGNUUUUCUCUUAAGAGGGCCAGCUUUGCCUUGCAUCUCCAGGUCUAUGUCAUUUUUUCACAACCUCUCAAAUGUGUUUAGAAUGUUGAAUCAGGUCGUUUUGUACCUAUAAAAGUGAAAUAUACAACUUUCAGCAACGGAUCUCUUGGCUCUCGCAUCGAUGAAGAACGCAGCGAAAUGCGAUAAGUAAUGUGAAUUGCAGAAUUCAGUGAAUCAUCGAAUCUUUGAACGCACCUUGCGCUCCUUGGUAUUCCGAGGAGCAUGCCUGUUUGAGUGUCAUUUAACUUCUCAACCACACUUGAUUUGUGUGGCUUUGGAUAUGGGGGUUUCUGCGGGCUUUCUUGUGUGAAAGAAGGUCGGCUCCCCUGAAAUGCAUUAGUGGUAUCUGAGCUACUACUAUAGGUGUGAUAAUUAUCUAUGCCUUUGGUAUGCUGCAUUGAACAGAUUGCACUGCUUCCAACCCAGACCUAUAUUUGAUAAAUUUGACCUCAAAUCAGGUAGGACUACCCGCUGAACUUAAGCAUAUCA